AUAAAUUUAGUUAUAAAUUAGAUAUUUUUGAAAAAUCAGGACAAAUCAGGACAUUUUAAGGCCAUUUUUAAAAAAUCAGGACAAUUCAAGCGUUUUUGAAAAAUCAGGACGGCCUCUCGAAAAUCAGGACAAAUCCUGAUAAAUCAGGACACCUGACGCCCCUGCCAGGAGCACAAGCAGCAGGUUUUGAUGGCAGUCGGCCGGAUGAAACAGUUCGCCAUGUUCCGGAUGAGGUGCCUCACGACAACAACGGCCACGUCUGGCCCAGCUUCUGUACACUGUUUUCGCUGGGUACGCGGAGACGGGGAAGAGGAAGUUUUUACACUACCGACCAGAAGAUGACGGCGAACCUCCAAAAGUACCGGGAAUAUUUCCUCGGUAUCAGGAAUCUUCCUCGCAACCGGAGGCCAGAAUCUGGUGCUUUAUCGGAUCACCAUCCAUUAACCGUAACAUUUCCAGCAUAUGAAAUCGAUUAAUGCUGCCAAAUUAACCAAGAUGUCCAACCAAGAUGACCCCUUCAGACAUUUUUUUUGCGCCGAGCCUGGAUUGCGAAUUGGCAGGAACUCGAAGGAGAAAACCGUAUGUUUAAGCUACAGUGAUAGCCAGAAAAUGUGCCAGGGAGUUAGGUUGAGCAGUUCCGGGAAUAGUAGAGAACCUUCAUACAUAAGAUCAUGAAAUA
Long non-coding RNA from Uranotaenia lowii, 679 nucleotides. RefSeq lists it as uncharacterized. The record is from RefSeq and is a predicted model, not a curated record. The transcript has 3 exons. NCBI's taxonomy places the organism in Eukaryota, Metazoa, Arthropoda, Insecta, Diptera, Culicidae.